Small nuclear RNA from Vulpes vulpes (red fox), 114 nucleotides. Its record names the gene U4. It matches the Rfam family "U4 spliceosomal RNA". Rfam says of the family: U4 small nuclear RNA (U4 snRNA) is a component of the major U2-dependent spliceosome. The structure of U4 snRNA from yeast and human has been reported. Lineage: Eukaryota; Metazoa; Chordata; Mammalia; Carnivora; Canidae. The record is from Ensembl.
AGCUUUGCACAGUGGCAGUAUUGUACCCAAUGAGGUUUAUCCAAGGCACGAUUAUUGCUAAUAAUGGCACAACAAAUAACCUCUUGUAGACAUAUUUGAAUCCAUUCUUUUAGG